AACGAACGCUGGCGGCAUGCCUAACACAUGCAAGUCGAACGAGACCUUCGGGUCUAGUGGCGCACGGGUGCGUAACGCGGGGGAACCUGCCCUUAGGUUCGGGAUAACUCCCCGGAAGGGGUGCUAAUACCGGAUAAUGUCUUCGGACCAAAGAUUUAUCGCCCUUGGAUGGGCCCGCGGUGCAUUAGCUAGUUGGUAGGGUAAAAGGCUACCAAGGCGACGAUACAUAGCUGGUCUGAGAGGAAGAUCAGCCACACUGGGACUGAGACACGGCCCAGAAUCCUACGGGAGGCAGCAGUGGGGAAUCUUGGAAAGCGGCGGAAAGGAUGAUGCAGCAAUGCCGCGUGAGUGCUGAAGGCCGUAGGGUUGUAAAGCUGUUUUACCCGGGAUGAUAAUGACAGUACCGGAAGAAUAAGCACCGGCUAACUCCGUG
This 433-nucleotide ribosomal RNA is filed under the name uncultured bacterium. RNAcentral describes it as "partial 16S ribosomal RNA". It matches the Rfam family "Bacterial small subunit ribosomal RNA", at positions 29 to 507 of the family's 1533-position model. The record is from RNAcentral.